GGAGUCGGCCGGACAGUCGCGUCGCGCCUUCGGGCGUAUCGAGGAAAGUCCGGGCUCCAUAGGGCAGGGUGCCAGGUAACCCCUGGGCAGCGUGAGCUGACGGCCAGUGCAACAGAGAGCAGACCGCCGAUGGCCCCGCAAGGGGAUCAGGUAAGGGUGAAAGGGUGCGGUAAGAGCGCACCGCGUGCGGGGACAACGUCGCAUGGCACGGUAAACCCCACCCGGAGCAAGACCAAAUAAGGGGACUAUGACGUUGCCCGCGUCGUCCCCGGGUAGGUUGCUGGAGCCUGGCGGUGACGCCAGGCCGAGAAGAAUGACUGUCACGUCGCAAGACGCACAGAACCCGGCUUACAGGCCGACUCCUUCU
Molecule: non-coding RNA, 367 nt
Organism: Luteibacter sp. 22Crub2.1
Lineage: Bacteria; Pseudomonadati; Pseudomonadota; Gammaproteobacteria; Lysobacterales; Rhodanobacteraceae
Source: Rfam